This 710-nucleotide ribosomal RNA is filed under the name uncultured bacterium. RNAcentral's name for it is "bacterial SSU rRNA". It matches the Rfam family "Bacterial small subunit ribosomal RNA", at positions 81 to 788 of the family's 1533-position model. The record is from RNAcentral.
AUACCUGCCGGCGACCGGCAAACGGGUGCGGAACACGUACACAACCUUCCUUUAAGUGGGGAAUAGCCCAGAGAAAUUUGGAUUAAUACCCCGUAAGAUUAUUGAAUGGCAUCAUUUAGUAAUUAAAGCUCCGGCGCUUGGAGAUGGGUGUGCGUCUGAUUAGGUAGUUGGUGAGGGUAACGGCCCACCAAGCCUUCGAUCAGUAACUGGUGUGAGAGCACGACCAGUCACACGGGCACUGAGACACGGGCCCGACUCCUACGGGAGGCAGCAGUAAGGAAUAUUGGUCAAUGGACGCAAGUCUGAACCAGCCAUGCCGCGUGGAGGAUGAAGGUCCUCUGGAUUGUAAACUUCUUUUAUUUGGGAAGAAAGGCAUCUUUUCUAGGGUGUUUGACGGUACCAGAUGAAUAAGCACCGGCUAACUCCGUGCCAGCAGCCGCGGUAAUACGGAGGGUGCAAGCGUUAUCCGGAUUCACUGGGUUUAAAGGGUGCGUAGGUGGGCAGUUAAGUCAGUGGUGAAAUCUCCGGGCUUAACCCGGAAACUGCCAUUGAUACUAUCUGUCUUGAAUAUCGUGGAGGUAAGCGGAAUAUGUCAUGUAGCGGUGAAAUGCUUAGAUAUGACAUAGAACACCAAUUGCGAAGGCAGCUUACUACCCGAAUAUUGACACUGAGGCACGAAAGCGUGGGGAUCAAACAGGAUUAGAUACCCU